GUGUGUAUAUGUGCAUGCAUGCAUGUGUAUGUGUAUUUUUUAUUUAUUUUUUCCUCAUAGGACUGCAUUUUCUGCUUUUCUUUGCUAGCAAAGUCAUUUAUGGCUUCCUUGGCGGUAUGUCUUUUAAUACCCAUCUUUCUGUUUCGUCUGUUCCAGAUUAUUGGUAACUUGCUUUAUUAUCGAUACAUGAAUCCAGCCAUUGUUGCUCCUGAUGCCUUUGACAUCAUUGACCUGUCAGCAGGAGGCCAGCUUACCACAGACCAACGCCGAAAUCUGGGCUCCAUUGCAAAAAUGCUUCAGCAUGCUGCUUCCAAUAAGAUGUUUCUGGGAGAUAAUGCCCACUUAAGCAUCAUUAAUGAAUAUCUUUCCCAGUCCUACCAGAAAUUCAGACGGUUUUUCCAAACUGCUUGUGAUGUCCCAGAGCUUCAGGAUAAAUUUAAUGUGGAUGAGUACUCUGAUUUAGUAACCCUCACCAAACCAGUAAUCUACAUUUCCAUUGGUGAAAUCAUCAACACCCACACUCUCCUGUUGGAUCACCAGGAUG
Molecule: small RNA, 544 nt
Filed under: Pan troglodytes (chimpanzee)
Lineage: Eukaryota; Metazoa; Chordata; Mammalia; Primates; Hominidae
Description: retained intron
Source: RNAcentral